Macadamia integrifolia is the source of this 3391-nucleotide ribosomal RNA. The record is from RefSeq and is a predicted model, not a curated record. NCBI's taxonomy places the organism in Eukaryota, Viridiplantae, Streptophyta, Magnoliopsida, Proteales, Proteaceae.
CGACCCCAGGUCAGGGGGGCUACCCACUAAGUUUAGUCAUAUCAAUAAGCGAAGGAGAAGAACUUACGAGGAUUCCCUUAGUAACGAUGAGCGAACCGGGAAGAGCCCUUCUUGAGAAUUGGGUGGCUUUGUCGUUCGAUUUGUAGUCUGUAGAAGCAUCCUCAACGAUGGACUAGGCCCAAGUCCCUUAGAAGGGUGCACCAGAGAGGGUGAGAGCCCUGUCAUGACCAAAUCCUAUCGCACCACGAGGCACUGUCGACGAGUCAGGUUGUUUGCGAAUGCAGCCCCAAUUGGGUGGUAAAUUCUGUCCAAGGCUAAAUACGGGCGAGAGACCAAUAGAGAAUAAGUACCACAAGGGAAAGAUGAAAAGGACUUUGAAAAGAGAGACAAAGAGUGCUUAAAAUUAUCGGGAGAGAAGUGGAUGGGCAGGCGAUGCAUCUCAGUCGGAUGCAAAAAGUUGAAUAGCCGGUCCACCGCUCGACUUGGGGCGUGGACCGAUGUGGAUUAUGGUAGCAUCCCAGCCCAGGUUGUCGUGUUAUACCUGAGGAGAUGUCAUCGUCGUGAUCAUGGUAGGAAGCAUGCACCUCGAUGGCGUGCCUAUUGGUAAUGGCAUGCUCUAGGCAUCGGCUUGUCAGGCUCCCCGUUUGACCCAUCUUGAAACACGGACCAAGGAGUAUGACAGGUGUGAGUCAAUGGGUGAGUAAAACUCAUAAGACAUAAGGAAAUAGACAAGUGGUAUCCCCUUGUGGGUUGCACCACCGACCGACCUUGAUCUUCUAUGAAGGUUUCGAGUGAAAGCAUACCUGUCGGGACCCAAAAGAUGGUGAACUAUGCAUGAGCGAGGCAAAGCCAGAGGAAACUCUAAUGGAGGCCCAUAGCGAUAUUGAUGUGAAAAUUAUUCGUUUGAAUUCGGUAUAGGGGUGAAAGACUAAUCGAGCUGUCUAGUAGCUGGUUCCCUCCAAAGUUUCUCUUAGGAUAGUUGGAGCCCUCAGGCGAGUUCUAUCGGAUAAUGCCAAUGAUUAAAGGCAUCGGGGGUGCAACGCCCUCGACCUAUUCUCAAACUUUAAAUAGGUAGGACGGCAUGGCUGCUUUGUUGAGGCUCUAUGGAAUCGAGGGCUCCAAGGGGGCUAUUUUUUGUAAGCAGAACUGGCAAUGCGGGAUGAACCGAAAGUCGGGUUACGGUGCCAAAUUGUGUGCUAACCUAGAACCCAUAAAGGGUGUUGGUCGAUUAAGACAGUAGGACGGUAGUCAUGGAAGUCAAAAUCCUCUAAGGAGUGUGUAACAACUCACCUGCUGAAUCAACUAGCCCCAAAAAUGGAUGGCACUAAAGUGCAAAACCUAUACCCAGCCGUCGAGGCAACUGCUUGGCCCUAAUGAGUAGGAGGGCAUGACAAUCACUGUAAAACCUGGGGCAUAAGCCCAGGCGGAGCGGCCGUCGGUGUAAAUCUUGGUGGUAGUAGAAAAUAUUCAAAUGAGAACUUUGAAGGCCAAAGAGGGGAAAGGUUCCAUGUGAAUGACACUUGCAUAUGGGUUAGUCGAUCCUAAGGGACGGGGGAAUCCCGUCAGAGAGUGUGUAUACCCGUGUGCUCUGAAAGGGAAUCAGGUUAAAAUUCCCAAAGUAGGACGUGGCGGUUGAUGACAACAUUAGGAAAUCUAGAGACAUCGGUGGGGGCCUCGGGAAGAGUUAUCUUUUUUGUUUAACAGCCUACCCACCCUGAAAACAGCUCAGUCAGAGGUAGGGUCUAGCGGCUGGAAGAGCAAUGCACAUCGUGUGGUGUCCAGUGCAUGCCCGGCGGCCCUUGAAAAUCCAGAGGACUGAGUGCUGACCAUGCCCAGUCGUACUCAUAACGACAUCAGGUCUCCAAGGUGAACAACCUCUGGUCAAUGGAGUAAUGUAGGUAAGGGAAGUCGGUAAAAUGGAUCCGUAACCUCAGAAAAGGAUUGGCUCUGAGGGCUGGACACGGGGGUUCCAGUCCCUAACCUAUCGACUGUCGAUGGACUACUCGAGCUGGUUUCACGAUGAGAGUGGGUCGCCACGUGCUCAUCGGGGGAUGGACUGAGAACGGCCCCCUCAAGGGCCUUCCCCGGGCAUCAAAUAGCCGACUCAGAACUGGUACAGACAAGGGGAAUCUGAAUAUUUAAUUAAAACAAAGCAUUGCAAUGGUUGCUGUGGAUGCUCAUGCAAUGUGAUUUCUGCCCAGUGCUCUAAAUGUCAAAGUGAAUAAAUUCAACCAAGCACAGGUAAACGGCAGGAGUAUGUAUGACUCUCUUAAGGUAGCCAAAUGCCUCAUCAUCUCCACAUGAAUGGAUUAACGAGAUUCCCACUGUCCCUGUCUACUAUCAAGAGAAACCAUAGCCAAGGGAACGAGCUUGGCAGAAUCAGCGAGGAAAGAAGACCUUAUUGAGCUUGACUCUAGUUCGACUUUGUGAAAUGACUUGAGAGGUGUAGGAUAAGUGGGAGCUAGAAAUGGCGCAAGUUAAAUACCACUACUUCUAACGUUAUUUUACUUACUCCGUGAGUCGGAGGUGGGGCUCUACCCCUCCUUUUGGACCCAAGGCCUGCCUCGACAGGGCGAUCUGGGUGGAGGACAUUGUCAGGUGGGGAGUUUUGCUAGGGCGGCACAUCUAUGAAAAGAUAACGCAAGUGUCCUAAGAUGAGCUCAACGAGAACAAAAAUCCCAUGUGGAACAAAAGCGAAAAAGCUCGUUUGAUUCUGAUUUCCAGUACGAAUACGAACCAUGAAAGCAUGGGCUAUUGAUCCUUUAGACCUUUGAAAUUUGAAGCUAGAGGUGUCAAAAAAAGUUACCAUAGGGAUAACUGGCUUAUGGCAUCCAAGCGUUCAUAGCGACGUUGCUUUUUAAUCCUUCGAUGUCGGCUCUUCCUAUCACUGCGAAGUAGAAUUCGCCAAGUGUUGGAUUGUUCACCCACUAAUAGGGAAUGUGGGCUGGGUUUAGACCAUCAUGAGAUAGGUUAGUUUUACCUAACGGAUGAUAGUGUCACGAUAGUAAUUCAACCUAGUACAAAUGGAACCAUUGAUUCACACAAUUGGUCAUCGCCUUUGGUUGAAAAGCCAGUGGCGUGAAGCUGCCAUGUGCCAGAUUAUGACUGAACCCCUCUAAGUCAGAAUCCCGACUAAAGAAGCGAUGCCUGUGCCUGUCCCCCAUUUGCCAACCCGCAAUAGGGGCCCUCUGGCCCCCAGAGGCACGUGUUGUUGGCCAAGCCCCUGCAGUGGACGUGCUAUGUGGGCUACCUUGAAGCAUAAUUCUUGUCGAGCGAGCGAUGGGUAGAAUCCUUUACAGAUGACUUAAAUAUGCGAUGGGGUAUUGUAAGUGGCAGAGUGGCCUUGCUGCCACGAUCCACUGAGAUUCAGCCCCAUAUCGCAUUGAUUCGU